This 246-nucleotide ribosomal RNA is filed under the name uncultured bacterium. RNAcentral describes it as "partial 16S ribosomal RNA". It matches the Rfam family "Bacterial small subunit ribosomal RNA", at positions 524 to 770 of the family's 1533-position model. The record is from RNAcentral.
UACGAAGGGAGCUAGCGUUGUUCGGAAUCACUGGGCGUAAAGCGCACGUAGGCGGAUGUGUCAGUCAGGGGUGAAAUCCCGGAGCUCAACUUCGGAACUGCCCUUGAUACAGCACGUCUUGAGUCCGGAAGAGGUGGGUGGAAUUCCUAGUGUAGAGGUGAAAUUCGUAGAUAUUAGGAAGAACACCGGUGGCGAAGGCGGCCCACUGGUCCGGUACUGACGCUGAGGUGCGAAAGCGUGGGAGCA